RNAcentral lists this transfer RNA (73 nucleotides) under Stegodyphus mimosarum. It matches the Rfam family "tRNA". From Rfam's summary of the family: Transfer RNA (tRNA) molecules are approximately 80 nucleotides in length. Their secondary structure includes four short double-helical elements and three loops (D, anti-codon, and T loops). Further hydrogen bonds mediate the characteristic L-shaped molecular structure. tRNAs have two regions of fundamental functional importance: the anti-codon, which is responsible for specific mRNA codon recognition, and the 3' end, to which the tRNAs corresponding amino acid is attached (by aminoacyl-tRNA synthetases). tRNAs cope with the degeneracy of the genetic code in two manners: having more than one tRNA (with a specific anti-codon) for a particular amino acid; and 'wobble' base-pairing, i.e. permitting non-standard base-pairing at the 3rd anti-codon position. Lineage: Eukaryota; Metazoa; Arthropoda; Arachnida; Araneae; Eresidae. The record is from Rfam by way of RNAcentral.
GCCUUCGUGGUGUAGUGGUCAGUACACUUGACGCAUAACCGUGAAACCCGUGGUUCGAUUCCCGGCGUAGGCG